Molecule: non-coding RNA, 441 nt
Organism: Vicia faba (fava bean)
Lineage: Eukaryota; Viridiplantae; Streptophyta; Magnoliopsida; Fabales; Fabaceae
Source: the annotation of a GenBank genome assembly
AAUUUAUUUUGGACGGAUCAGAUUAAAUCUGAAAACAAUAUUCCUUUUCAUUUUCUCUAUUUAAGAAUCUUCAUCUCUUUGUCUACAAGGAAAGAAAACAAGAACAAAAAGCAAACAGUGACCCAUUUCUCAUCUUCAAUUUCUUCAUCCAUCUCUCUCACGCGAAACCCACGCCUCGCUUAUAAUCACCAAACUUUACUUUCUCACGCGAUACCCACCGUCUUCCACCUGCUAACACAAAAACGAGACCCAUACACCCAAACUUCCGAACAGCUUCCACCACAGUCCGUGAACCCACUGUCUUCAGUCUUCACCAUCUCGUUCCACCCUUCAAUCCGCUUCAAAUACUCCCUCAAUCAUCACCGUCAACCACUCACCUUCAUCGACUCAUCCCUUCAUCUCUUAUGUGACCAUUCUUCUCAUCCUCAAUCAUCAUCGUAA